GCCGAGAUGGUGAAAUUGGUAGACACGCCAGCUUCAGGUGCUGGUGGGGGCAACCCCGUGGAGGUUCGAGUCCUCUUCUCGGCACCA
RNAcentral lists this transfer RNA (87 nucleotides) under Gammaproteobacteria bacterium. RNAcentral describes it as "tRNA-Leu". It matches the Rfam family "tRNA". From Rfam's summary of the family: Transfer RNA (tRNA) molecules are approximately 80 nucleotides in length. Their secondary structure includes four short double-helical elements and three loops (D, anti-codon, and T loops). Lineage: Bacteria; Pseudomonadati; Pseudomonadota; Gammaproteobacteria. The record is from RNAcentral.